ACACAGGGUUUUGACCUACGACCAGAAUGUCAGCCAAUCAGCACUCGACAGGGAUUUCCCGCUAUUUUUCGUCUCCCGCUGGCCUGGUCUCUCGCGCCAACAUGGCUGCCGCGCCGUCCCUACUGAAGUUAGGGGACGAAUUUCUCACUUGGGCAGAGUUUAAGGCAGCACUGGACAACUAUCAAGAAACAACACACGCUGAGCUCAGUAAGAUCAGUAGCAAGAAGGUGGAAACUGAGAACAGGAAAUUACCUGAAGGCGUCCAAAAGUUUCCGUGUGCUCAUGUUUAUAAAGCGGUGAAGUUUGGAUGUAUUCAUUACGGGAAGCCGCGCCUGUCAGGGUCGGGAAUCCGGCCAAAUCAGUCGCAAUUCUGUAUGGCCUCCACAAGAUCAAGGGAAUCAGCAUGGAGGCAGCUCAGCAACUGAUGGAUAAGGGACCAGAGCGAUCCCCUGAAGAGACGUGGUACAGGGACUAGAAAGAGGAGGAGAAGAACCAUCCACCGGACAUUUUAGCUAGUUUUUUAAAAAAUUUUAAUUUUUUAUAUUCCACAAUCCCAGAGCCGUGGUCUUUAUUCUUUUGUCACAUGUUACAUGAUGAUAUUUACAAUAUAUACAGUAUGUUUAUUUCAAUCUAUCAGGUAAAGAAGAUCCCCCCAUUUUCUUUUUGCUUUUCCGUAUGAUAUAUUUUGCUCUAUUUUUAAGCUGGACAUAAAAUCAUUUAAGAAAACAGAGAAUGGAUCAAUUAUUUUGUAGAAGCUUUUUUCCUUAUAUAGACACCAGGUUUUAAAUAUUGCAUACUGUGCUAUACCAAUCAUAUGAUUACCUGCAUUUGUUUGUUGUAAGUUCCUUGGAAGUCCAUAUAUUAAUGUUUCAAUAUUGAUAUCUUUUAUGAUAAUUAUGAUGUUCAGUAUUUUUUCAGUAUUAUGAUGUUCAGUAUUUUUCCAAAAAUUUUUAAGUCCUUUACAUUGAAAGAACAUAUGGUUUUCGUCCUCUAUUUCCAAACAGAUGUUACAUAGAGGUGACUGUAUUAAUUUCCAUUUCUCGGGUUCUAACAUAUUUCUGCCUAUCGCUUUGUGCCAACUACAGAUAACAUGUUUGUAGUACAAAGGUAUGUGUUCCAUGUUAGGACAAUCCCGUUUGUCUUUAAAUUGCAUAUUUAGAAUAAGGAAAUCUUUUCCAAAACUGUUAAGAAACAGACGUGGAAGUAUCUUCCAGUCCCCCUCUGAGUUAUCCAUUAACCGCCUGAUAACACUAGCAUGUAAGGCAUCAAUUUGCGAUGGAAUAUGAGUCAUCUUUAGACCUGUAUUACAAUCUUCGACCUGAUGUCCAAAAUUUAUAAGCAUUUUAGCUAGUUAGUUAGUUACAGAGGUAGCUCAGGACCUGCAGCAAGUAUAUGUACCGGUAUGUACUUGGAUGCUCGACGUUGUAAACCUUACACACACAGACUUGUCAGCCUGCAUGACCCAGGAGCAAGUAGGGGAACAAUACUCUGGCAUACUUGUG
Molecule: long non-coding RNA, 1502 nt
Organism: Branchiostoma belcheri (Belcher's lancelet)
Lineage: Eukaryota; Metazoa; Chordata; Leptocardii; Amphioxiformes; Branchiostomatidae
Exons: 3
Source: RefSeq, a predicted model, not a curated record